UUAAGUUAUUAAGGGCGCACGGUGGAUGCCUUGGCACUAGAAGCCGAUGAAGGACGUUACUAACGACGAUAUGCUUUGGGGAGCUGUAAGUAAGCUUUGAUCCAGAGAUUUCCGAAUGGGGAAACCCANCAUGAGUUAUGUCAUGUUAUCGAUAUGUGAAUACAUAGCAUAUCAGAAGGCACACCCGGAGAACUGAAACAUCUUAGUACCCGGAGGAAGAGAAAGAAAAUUCGAUUCCCUUAGUAGCGGCGAGCGAAACGGGAAGAGCCCAAACCAACAAGCUUGCUUGUUGGGGUUGUAGGACACUCUAUACGGAGUUACAAAGGACGACAUUAGACGAAUCAUCUGGAAAGAUGAAUCAAAGAAGGUAAUAAUCCUGUAGUCGAAAAUGUUGUCUCUCUUGAGUGGAUCCUGAGUACGACGGAGCACGUGAAAUUCCGUCGGAAUCUGGGAGGACCAUCUCCUAAGGCUAAAUACUCUCUAGUGACCGAUAGUGAACCAGUACCGUGAGGGAAAGGUGAAAAGCACCCCGGAAGGGGAGUGAAAUAGAACCUGAAACCGUGUGCUUACAAGUAGUCAGAGCCCGUUAAUGGGUGAUGGCGUGCCUUUUGUAGAAUGAACCGGCGAGUUACGAUUUGAUGCAAGGUUAAGCAGUAAAUGUGGAGCCGUAGCGAAAGCGAGUCUGAAUAGGGCGUUUAGUAUUUGGUCGUAGACCCGAAACCAGGUGAUCUACCCUUGGUCAGGUUGAAGUUCAGGUAACACUGAAUGGAGGACCGAACCGACUUACGUUGAAAAGUGAGCGGAUGAACUGAGGGUAGCGGAGAAAUUCCAAUCGAACCUGGAGAUAGCUGGUUCUCUCCGAAAUAGCUUUAGGGCUAGCCUCAAGUGAUGAUUAUUGGAGGUAGAGCACUGUUUGGACGAGGGGCCCCUCUCGGGUUACCGAAUUCAGACAAACUCCGAAUGCCAAUUAAUUUAACUUGGGAGUCAGAACAUGGGUGAUAAGGUCCGUGUUCGAAAGGGAAACAGCCCAGACCACCAGCUAAGGUCCCAAAAUAUAUGUUAAGUGGAAAAGGAUGUGGCGUUGCCCAGACAACUAGGAUGUUGGCUUAGAAGCAGCCAUCAUUUAAAGAGUGCGUAAUAGCUCACUAGUCGAGUGACACUGCGCCGAAAAUGUACCGGGGCUAAACAUAUUACCGAAGCUGUGGAUUGUCCUUUGGACAAUGGUAGGAGAGCGUUCUAAGGGCGUUGAAGCAUGAUCGUAAGGACAUGUGGAGCGCUUAGAAGUGAGAAUGCCGGUGUGAGUAGCGAAAGACGGGUGAGAAUCCCGUCCACCGAUUGACUAAGGUUUCCAGAGGAAGGCUCGUCCGCUCUGGGUUAGUCGGGUCCUAAGCUGAGGCCGACAGGCGUAGGCGAUGGAUAACAGGUUGAUAUUCCUGUACCACCUAUAAUCGUUUUAAUCGAUGGGGGGACGCAGUAGGAUAGGCGAAGCGUGCGAUUGGAUUGCACGUCUAAGCAGUAAGGCUGAGUAUUAGGCAAAUCCGGUACUCGUUAAGGCUGAGCUGUGAUGGGGAGAAGACGUUGUGUCUUCGAGUCGUUGAUUUCACACUGCCGAGAAAAGCCUCUAGAUAGAAAAUAGGUGCCCGUACCGCAAACCGACACAGGUAGUCAAGAUGAGAAUUCUAAGGUGAGCGAGCGAACUCUCGUUAAGGAACUCGGCAAAAUGACCCCGUAACUUCGGGAGAAGGGGUGCUCUUUAGGGUUAACGCCCAGAAGAGCCGCAGUGAAUAGGCCCAAGCGACUGUUUAUCAAAAACACAGGUCUCUGCUAAACCGUAAGGUGAUGUAUAGGGGCUGACGCCUGCCCGGUGCUGGAAGGUUAAGAGGAGUGGUUAGCUUCUGCGAAGCUACGAAUCGAAGCCCCAGUAAACGGCGGCCGUAACUAUAACGGUCCUAAGGUAGCGAAAUUCCUUGUCGGGUAAGUUCCGACCCGCACGAAAGGCGUAACGAUUUGGGCACUGUCUCAACGAGAGACUCGGUGAAAUCAUAGUACCUGUGAAGAUGCAGGUUACCCGCGACAGGACGGAAAGACCCCGUGGAGCUUUACUGUAGCCUGAUAUUGAAAUUCGGCACAGCUUGUACAGGAUAGGUAGGAGCCUUUGAAACGUGAGCGCUAGCUUACGUGGAGGCGCUGGUGGGAUACUACCCUAGCUGUGUUGGCUUUCUAACCCGCACCACUUAUCGUGGUGGGAGACAGUGUCAGGCGGGCAGUUUGACUGGGGCGGUCGCCUCCUAAAAGGUAACGGAGGCGCUCAAAGGUUCCCUCAGAAUGGUUGGAAAUCAUUCAUAGAGUGUAAAGGCAUAAGGGAGCUUGACUGCGAGACCUACAAGUCGAGCAGGGUCGAAAGACGGACUUAGUGAUCCGGUGGUUCCGCAUGGAAGGGCCAUCGCUCAACGGAUAAAAGCUACCCCGGGGAUAACAGGCUUAUCUCCCCCAAGAGUUCACAUCGACGGGGAGGUUUGGCACCUCGAUGUCGGCUCAUCGCAUCCUGGGGCUGUAGUCGGUCCCAAGGGUUGGGCUGUUCGCCCAUUAAAGCGGUACGCGAGCUGGGUUCAGAACGUCGUGAGACAGUUCGGUCCCUAUCCGUCGUGGGCGUAGGAAAUUUGAGAGGAGCUGUCCUUAGUACGAGAGGACCGGGAUGGACAUACCUCUGGUGUACCAGUUGUCGUGCCAACGGCAUAGCUGGGUAGCUAUGUGUGGACGGGAUAAGUGCUGAAAGCAUCUAAGCAUGAAGCCCCCCUCAAGAUGAGAUUUCCCAACUUCGGUUAUAAGAUCCCUCAAAGAUGAUGAGGUUAAUAGGUUCGAGGUGGAAGCAUGGUGACAUGUGGAGCUGACGAAUACUAAUCGAUCGAAGACUUAAUCAA
This 2921-nucleotide ribosomal RNA is filed under the name Staphylococcus aureus. Its description in RNAcentral is "23S ribosomal RNA". It matches the Rfam family "Bacterial large subunit ribosomal RNA". The record is from RNAcentral. Lineage: Bacteria; Bacillati; Bacillota; Bacilli; Caryophanales; Staphylococcaceae.